This 309-nucleotide unclassified non-coding RNA is filed under the name uncultured fungus. RNAcentral's name for it is "sequence contains ITS1, 5.8S rRNA gene". The stretch from base 261 to 309 matches the Rfam family "5.8S ribosomal RNA", at positions 1 to 49 of the family's 154-position model. Lineage: Eukaryota; Fungi. The record is from RNAcentral.
UUUCCGUAGGUGAACCUGCGGAAGGAUCAUUAACGUAUAAAUGAUUUCCAUUAUACAAUUCAAUUACUGAUCAUUAUUUUGUGAUCUUGAUUAGUGAUUGCUUGUACUUCAAGUACAAGAAUUAGAGAAGUUUAAGUUUUGGCUUAAAUUAAGAUCACUCUCGAAUCAUAUUUUUUUACUAUUAUAUGAUUAAAACAUACUCAGAAAUUGAUCAUAAAAGGAGAAAUUCUUUGUGAUGUAAAAUAAAAAUAAUCCAUAACAACUGUUAGCAACGGAUACCUAGGCUCUUGUAACGAUGAAGAACGCAGC